Corvus hawaiiensis (hawaiian crow) is the source of this 276-nucleotide long non-coding RNA. RefSeq lists it as uncharacterized. Lineage: Eukaryota; Metazoa; Chordata; Aves; Passeriformes; Corvidae. The record is from RefSeq and is a predicted model, not a curated record. The transcript has 4 exons.
CUCGCUGCUGCAGUUUGCACUGUGUAUGGCAUUGGUUAUUCUGGAUAUUACCUGGCUAACCUGGCACGUCACCUGACCCAUGUAUUCAGAGGUGCCGAUCCCAAGGGCACAGAACUAACAGCAGACUCUCCUCUGGCUCCCUCUGCUCCUGGAGAAGAGGCCAAAGAGGAGCAGAAUGACCACAACCCUCCAGCUGUGAUCACACCACAGCCUGAACUUUCCAAGACACUCCUUCUGGAGAAAGAGCAUGAGCAGAUUGCUCUAUCAGAGAUGCCG